RNAcentral lists this ribosomal RNA (494 nucleotides) under uncultured bacterium. Its description in RNAcentral is "bacterial SSU rRNA". It matches the Rfam family "Bacterial small subunit ribosomal RNA", at positions 30 to 520 of the family's 1533-position model. The record is from RNAcentral.
AUUGAACGCUGGCGGCAUGCUUUACACAUGCAAGUCGAACGGCAGCGCGGGGGCAACCCUGGCGGCGAGUGGCGAACGGGUGAGUAAUGCAUCGGAACGUAUCCUGUAAUGGGGGAUAACGUAGCGAAAGUUACGCUAAUACCGCAUACGCUCGAGAGAGGAAAGUGGGGGAUCGCAAGACCUCACGUUAUAGGAGCGGCCGAUGUCCGAUUAGCUAGUUGGUGGGGUAAAGGCCUACCAAGGCGACGAUCGGUAGCUGGUCUGAGAGGAUGAUCAGCCACACUGGGACUGAGACACGGCCCAGACUCCUACGGGAGGCAGCAGUGGGGAAUUUUGGACAAUGGGCGAAAGCCUGAUCCAGCCAUGCCGCGUGCGGGAAGAAGGCCCUCGGGUUGUAAAGCUCUUUUGUCCGGAAGAAAGCAAUCGGUUAAUACCCGGUUGUUCUGACGGUACCGGAAGAUAAGCACCGGCUAACUUCGUGCCAGCAGCCGCGG